UACGUAGGGUGCAAGCGUUAAUCGGAAUUACUGGGCGUAAAGCGUGCGCAGGCGGCUUUGCAAGACAGAUGUGAAAUCCCCGGGCCCAACCUGGGAACUGCAUUUGUGACUGCAAGGCUGGAGUACGGUAGAGGGGGAUGGAAUUCCGCGUGUAGCAGUGAAAUGCGUAGAUAUCAGGAGGAACACCGAUGGCGAAGGCAGGUCUCUGGGCUGAUACUGACGCUCAUGCACGAAAGCGUGGGGAGCAAACAGG
This 253-nucleotide ribosomal RNA is filed under the name uncultured bacterium. RNAcentral's name for it is "partial 16S ribosomal RNA". It matches the Rfam family "Bacterial small subunit ribosomal RNA", at positions 524 to 776 of the family's 1533-position model. The record is from RNAcentral.